This 468-nucleotide ribosomal RNA is filed under the name uncultured bacterium. Its description in RNAcentral is "partial 16S ribosomal RNA". It matches the Rfam family "Bacterial small subunit ribosomal RNA", at positions 28 to 507 of the family's 1533-position model. The record is from RNAcentral.
GACGAACGCUGGCGGCGUGCUUAACACAUGCAAGUCGAACGGAAAGGCCCUGCUUUUGUGGGGUGCUCGAGUGGCGUACGGGUGAGUAACACGUGAGUAACCUGCCCUUGACUUUGGGAUAACUUCAGGAAACUGGGGCUAAUACCGGAUAGGAGCUCCUGCUGCAUGGUGGGGGUUGGAAAGUUUCGGCGGUUGGGGAUGGACUCGCGGCUUAUCAGCUUGUUGGUGGGGUAGUGGCUUACCAAGGCUUUGACGGGUAGCCGGCCUGAGAGGGUGACCGGCCACAUUGGGACUGAGAUACGGCCCAGACUCCUACGGAAGGCAGCAGUGGGGAAUAUUGCACAAUGGGCGGAAGCCUGAUGCAGCAACGCCGCGUGCGGGAUGACGGCCUUCGGGUUGUAAACCGCUUUCGCCUGUGGCGAAGCGUGAGUGACGGUAAUGGGUAAAGAAGCACCGGCUAACUACGUG